Biomphalaria glabrata is the source of this 351-nucleotide long non-coding RNA. RefSeq lists it as uncharacterized. The transcript has 3 exons. NCBI's taxonomy places the organism in Eukaryota, Metazoa, Mollusca, Gastropoda, Planorbidae. The record is from RefSeq and is a predicted model, not a curated record.
AUCUUUAAAUCAGCUUGUUGACUUUAAAAUCAUUCUGUAUAAAUAAAUAUAGAAAUACUGUAAAAUGUUUGACAUUAUUGUUCUAACAGAAGGUUACACCCAGCUGGACUCAAAAGGAACUGUUAGAUCAUGUAGCACUGUCACACUUACUAAAAGGUCCCCACCGCAACAUUAUUGUUAAUACCGGGAACCCUUGGGGAAAGGGACUUACUUCUCAAAGCUUUGAGUGACCAGGGUUUGAAACCUGAAGACAUCCACUAUGUUAUUUGCUUAAAAGGACACAUAAAACAGAUUGGCAACCUCAACCUCUUCUCUGGAGCUGUCCAUUGUGUAGGCUAUGAUAUUUGUCAA